AACUUUGUUUCUUUUUAUAGCCACAGAGAAGAUCUGCACGGUUGUCUGCUAAACCUGCUCCUCCAAAGCCAGAGCCCAAGGCUAAGAAGACCCCUGCAAAGAAGGGAGAGAAGGUGCCCAAGGGGAAGAAAGGGAAAGCUGAUACCGGUAAGGAUGCAAAUAAUCCCGCGGAAAAUGGAGACGCCAAAACAGACCAGGCCCAGAAAGCCGAAGGUGCUGGAGAUGCCAAGUGACGUGUGUGCAUUUUUGAUAACUGUGUACUUCUGGUGACUGUACAGUUUGAAAUACUAUUUUUUAUCAAGUUUUAUAAAAGCAGAAUUUUGUUUUACUUUUUUUUUUUUUUUUUUUUUUUUUUUUUUUUUAAG
This is a long non-coding RNA of Acomys russatus (golden spiny mouse), 365 nucleotides long. RefSeq lists it as uncharacterized. The transcript is spliced from 4 exons. The record is from RefSeq and is a predicted model, not a curated record. NCBI's taxonomy places the organism in Eukaryota, Metazoa, Chordata, Mammalia, Rodentia, Muridae.